CACCUCUCCAGCCACAGGUAAGAGCCGCUGGGAACUCGUUUCCUCCAGACCCAUCUUUGCACGGGGGGGCGGGGGGGGGCAGUGUCCACACCCCCCACCUCCCACAAGCCUCUGCAAGUAGCUCAGCGGCGGCCAACCCGGGGGCACCGAACUGCUGGGCUCCUUGGAGGGAGGGAGGAGGAGCCCUGCCCAGGCGCCCCCAGGUGAGGAGUGAAUGUUCCUGGGGGGUCCUCGAGGCCAGCGCAGGGCUUGCUCCGGGUCCCUCCCUCCCUCUGUGUGCCCUGCAAACAGCUGGCACUCAAUAAGCUUGCAGUUUCAAUGGCAGAAGGCGGCCACUGCGGCAUUUCCAUGCCCCUGUGUGAUUGUCACCUCCUGCCCCAACUUGUGGCCUCUAGUCAGCAAGUGCCCUUAGGAGUGGGCAAGCUGCAGGGAGGGCACAGGGUCCUGGCGGGGGGGAGGCGGCAGGAGGAGAACUGGCCUCCGGUGUCUGGGGUCCCCAACAGGAGCUGCCCCUUCUGCACAGUUACAGGACAGGGGGUCUCGGACAACUUGGGCCCACAGGGUCCCUCAGGUCCAGCUGAGGGCCACCUUCUACCCUGGAACCCCAUACAGGCCCAGCCAGGCCCAAAGGUCCCAGGAGCCCUGGCCCCCGGCUCCCCGCCCCCCCAUGCAAACCCUGUCGUCCGCCCACCUCAGUGUUCCCUCUGGGCCCUGGGGGCUCCUGCAGCCAGACGUGCAGGGAACUCGGCCCUACGCAGCCCCGGGUGUGCCUGCAGGGUCUCAGCGGCCAGUGCAGGUCCACACCUCCGCCCACUGGUCUGGCCCGGCGGAUGGAAGGCUCCAGGAGGGAGGCACUAGCGAUGCAGAUGGUCUCCAGCAGGUGGCGCCCAGCGCCCGCACAUUUUCCUGGAGGGGCGCCUGCGCCUGCGCACACAUGUACCUGCCGCCGGCGUGCUUCUGAGCCCUGGGCGGGCGUGGGCGCGAACACCCCCACUGGGAGGGUGUGUGGGCGUGGCUUGCGCGGGCUGCGCCCACGCCGAGGUCCGUCUGCGUCUGUCCGUCUGCGCCCCUCGACCUGGUUUGGGGACUGGGGGUCAGAGGACACCCUGCAGUCACCUGACUCCACCAGUCUCGAGCCCCAGGCCCCAUGACUGAGGCGCCAACUGCUGCCGGGUCUGCUGCGUCCUGCACGCGGGGCAGGCGCAUAGGCUGAGCCCCUGGCUUCCUCCUGUAAGGCCUCUCCCCGCACGGCCUUGGACCGGUUCCCGGUCUUGCUCAUUUGCACGCUGGCCCUCAGCACAGUAAGGGCCAGGAAGCAUGGUUGGCUCUAAGCGCCCUACGCAGUGGGGACUCCUCCCCAGCUGGUCUGACGGCCCUGCCCUGGUUGUGGCCCGGGCCUUCCCCGGCUUGCCCUGCGGCAAGAAGGGCCGCCCAUCUCUGACCCUGUCCUGGGGGACCGGGGCGGCAACAAGCAGGUGCAGCAGAAACUCCUAACAUCUGGCCAGAUGAGCCCACGGAAGGCCAGUGGGCGUCUGGCGGCCUCUCUCCUGCAGAGAGGGGCCCUGUGGGACCCAGACACCCUGGGGCCUCUGCCUGCAGCCCCAUUGGGAGGGUCAUGGCUCUGAGAUCUCAGCCCCCGCUCUAGAAGUGUCUUCAUGGACUAGGCUACCCGGACGUGGCUGGCCUGGGCCGCUCCCAGGCAAGCCACAGGGGCAGGGUGAGGGUAGAAGGGUCCACACUGGCAGUCAGCUCCUGGGGCAGGGGACGUGUGUGGGUUCAGAAGUGCCCAGAACCACCGCCUGAGCUCUAGGGGUGGGAAGAGGUGGGACCCUGCCUGGAGUCGGCCAUGCAGCGCCACCCCCUGGCCAGGCACUGAAGCUGGAGUCUGCCUGCCUUCUGGAAAGGGGGCCUGUCCUCCCAGGUAUGGCCACGCCCAGCCUGGGCACAGUGAGAGUACAGGAGAGCCUCUGACGUGCCCAUCUUCCUGCAGAAGGAGGCACCCAGCUGGGGGGUGUACCCAUCUGUGGUGACCACCCCCCCCGCCAAGGAGGGGCCAGGGCCCCACGCAGCAGACCCAGAGCCGGUCCUGGAGCCAGGCCUAGUGACGCAGUGCGGCUAGAGCAGGGAGGUUCCUUGUGCGCAGGCUUUGAGGAAGCGGAUGUGGCCUUUGCACCAGCAGAUUACAGAGCGGGCCGAGCGGGAGAGUCAACAGAAAUCGCUCAAGGAGCAGCUGGGGGGACCUGCCGUGCCCAUCACCCCUGGGUCAGCGUCACCCCGCAGGCUGCAGCACCGGCCAGGGCUCCCCCACCAGUUGCAGACCUGAGGAGGGCAGAGCCCAGUGCUGGCCUGUAGAUGGGCUACAGUAGCGGCUGGUAUCAUGUCCAGGCUGUUAUCUUUGCCCGGAAGCCCACCCUUGUUCUGCAAGCCGUGAGUGUCCAGUGAGGCUGCAGCCAGAGGACUGGGGGCCGACUCGGGCCAGCAAGGCCCAGGCCUGGGGGUGCCACGUUCAUCUCAGUGGUGCACAGGAGGAGAGGGGAGACGCCUACCCUGCGGGUGGUCCCCCAGCAGGAGGGGGCCUAGGGCGAGAGGUCCCUCUGGAGGCCCCCAGCAACAUCCUGGCAGGACCCCCUGAGAUGGCUUCUCCUUUGGGAUGCUUGUCCAGGACGUUUGCAGGAUGCAGAGUGUGGACAGAGCCUCGGGAGGGGCAGGCCUGCCCCACCCGCUCCCCACAGAGACGAAUGAGACGCACCACAAGGUAACCCCCAGAAGAGUCUCCAAAGGGCAGAGAGGCCCCUGCACGUGGCCUCCCGUGGGCACCCACAGAUUCGCAGGUCAAAGUCCUGACCGCCCACGUCUCAGACCUGACUUGCAAGUAGGGUCCUGGCAGAUAAGUAACUGCUUGAGAUGAGGUCGCCCUGGAGCAGGGUGUGCCCUGAUCUAAUAUAACUGGUGUCCUUAAAAAAGAGGGAACGUUUGAGGCAGACACCCGCACAGGGAGAACACCAUGUAAAGAUGGAGGCAGAGUUGGGGAGGUGCGUCCGCAGACCAGGGGACACUGGAAGUGGGACGGAAGCACCAGCCUUGAGGGUCAGUUGGGAGAGACCCUCCUCCCAGCCUCACGGGACCAACUCUGAUGACACCUGGAUCUCAGGCUUCAGCCUCUAGAACUGGGAGAAAAGAAAGUCCAGGUGCUCGAACCACCCAUCCUGGGGCAGGUCCUCUGCCCUGGAAAAGCAGAACUCUGCCAGAGGAGUGCGACCUGCCGGGACACGGGGGAAAUAGCAGGAGACGCCCUGAAGGGCCAGUGGCCAACAGGCUGUGGGUUUGGACGCAGGGGUCCAUGGGGCAGCGUUUGUCUUCUAGCUGCUUUUCCACACCUUCCCGCAUUUUAUUACUGACCAUGAACCACAUUGGAAUGUUCUGAGAUUCUGUCUCAUCAGGUUCUUCCAAUUUCCAAAAAGAGCAGCACAGACUGGAUUCGCUCUUGCCUGGAACGACUAAAAGAUGGAAUGGGAUACGUGAGACAGCAGUCGUCAAGACACUGGAGGUCAGGCAGGGAAGAAUGGGAAUCACGGAGGAGAUGGGACCUGCACCCGGGGAGCCCUACGAGUUCCUGGAUCGCUGCCCUGAGAUGGUUCAGAACAAGGUGCAGGGAGGGGACCAGGAGGGGCUCUGCUGAGACCUUGGAGAUCAAGGCAGCUGGAGUUCAGGGGAUGCUGGAGAGAACGGGGCCGCACAGAGUGAGCCCUGGGUGGGCAGAAGCCCCCAAGUCCCGCCGGGCAGGACCUGCAGGUGAGGAACAAACCUGAGCUGGGAGGAGCCACCUGCAGGGACUGGGGGAGCAGCAGCUGGGUCCCCACGGGCAGGGCACAGCUGUCCCCCACGCCUUGCUGGGGAUCACAGCGCAGGGCAUAGAAGGCUUGCCAGCCUUGCCUGGACUGGGCACUGCUCCAGCCCCAUCUGAGAGGUCACAAAAGUAAGACCCAAAAGACAAACUGUACCCAUGUAGUUAACUGUGUCCAGAACAAAAACCUCAAGAAGCUUUAGAGGAAGACAAAAAUAUCCAGCUCCAACAAGGUAAGAUUCGCAAUGUCUGACACCCAAUCCCAAAGUACCAGGAAGACAGAGAAAAAGGACUGUUCGACCCACAAUCAGGAGAAAAGCCAGUCAUUCCAAACCAGCCUGACUCCAGCAUGGGUGUUAGAAUUAGCAGACAAGGACAUUAAAACAGUCAGUAUAAAUGUUUGGGGUUUGUUUCUUUAGGGCUGCACAUACAGCAUAUGGAGGUUCCCAGGCUGGCAACUGCAGCUCCAAUUUGACCCCAGGCCUGGGAAACUCCAUGUGCUGCGGGUGCAGCCCUUAAAAAGGACAACAACAAUACAAAAAACGGACUGGAGUUCCCACCGUGGCUCAGCGGUGACAAACCUGACUAGCAUCCAUGAGGAUGCAGGUUUGAUCCCUGGCCUCGUUCAGUUUAAAGAUCUGGUGUUGCCGUGAGCUACAGUGCAGAUCACAGGUGCAGCUAGGAUCCUGUGUUGCUGUGGCUGUGGUGUAGACCGGCAGCUGCAGCUCCAAUUCGACCCCGAGCCUGGGACCCUCCAUAUGCUGCAAAAUGCAGCCCUAAAAAGACAAAAAGGGGAGUUCCCGUUGUGGCGCAGUGGUUAACGAAUCCGACUAGGAACCAUGAGGUUGCAGGUUCGAUCCCUGGCCUGGCUCAGUGGGUUAAGGAUCCGGCGUUGCUGUGAGCUGUGGUGUAGGCCGUCAGCUACAGCUCCGAUGAGACCCCUCGCCUGGGAACUUCCAUAUGCCACAGGAGCGGCCCUAGAAAAGGC
RNAcentral lists this long non-coding RNA (4832 nucleotides) under Sus scrofa (pig). Its description in RNAcentral is "lncRNA (ENSSSCG00045026395.1)". The record is from RNAcentral. Lineage: Eukaryota; Metazoa; Chordata; Mammalia; Artiodactyla; Suidae.